GCACAAGCGGUGGAGUAUGUGGUUAAUUCGACGCAACGCGCAGAACCUUACCUAGGCUUGACAUCCCGGGAAUUUGCUGGAAACAGUGAAGUGCCUUCAUUAGAAAGAGCCCGGUGACAGGUGCUGCAUGGUUGUCGUCAGCUCGUGCCGUGAGGUGUCGGGUUAAGUCCCAUAACGAGCGCAACCCUUACCGUUAGUUACCAUCAGGUUAAGCUGGGGACUCUAGCGGGACUGCCACCGUAAGGUGAGAGGAAGUGGGGAUGACGUCAAAUCAGCACGGCCCUUAUGUCCAGGGCUACACACGUGUUACAAUGGCCAGUACAAAGGGCAGCUACCGGGUGACCGGAUGCUAAUCUCUAAAGCUGGUCUCAGUUCGGAUCGAAGUCUGCAACCCGACUUCGUGAAGCUGGAUUCGCUAGUAAUCGCGCAUCAGCCAUGGCGCGGUGAAUACGUUCCCGGGCCUU
RNAcentral lists this ribosomal RNA (464 nucleotides) under uncultured Sphingobacteriales bacterium. RNAcentral's name for it is "bacterial SSU rRNA". It matches the Rfam family "Bacterial small subunit ribosomal RNA", at positions 923 to 1382 of the family's 1533-position model. Lineage: Bacteria; Pseudomonadati; Bacteroidota; Sphingobacteriia; Sphingobacteriales. The record is from RNAcentral.